UACCCCAGUGCUGAGUACAGUCCCUGGCAUAUAGUGAGCACUUAGCAAAUACCAUUAAAAAAAAAAUAAUUGAUCCAUUUAAAAUUGGCCAGCUCGUCUAGGUUCCUCCAACCCAUUGCAUGUGGACUCUUCGUGAGCGUGGAAAUACUGAAAAUUCACUCCAAAAACUCCAAAUCAACUUGUUGACAGUGGCAGAAGUAGGAAGAAUUCGUGGUUCAACUGUGGUGCCAUUUUGGAAGUGAAAGCAGUAGCACUCGCCAUUUUCUUGGUGCUGCUUGUGACUUGCUGCUCCGAAGAAGCCAGGAAAGAUGCAGAGCUCUAUUUUCACGGACCAAGUGGGCAAGUGAUGGAGUUUUACCACCAACAGUGCUGUCUUUGAAAUGAAAGACAAUCCCAUUCUCAGCCCAACCUCUCUGUGACCCAUGAUUGGCCAAACUGUAUGCCUCACAAUUAUUUCCUGCUGUGUUCCUGACCUUUGUCCAGGCUUUCUUAUGACCCCAGUGCCCAUCAGCCCUUCUCCCUCCGUCCCAAACCCUCUGCUACUACUUUGAAAAAUGUCAUUUCUAUGGGUUGGCUCCGUCUGCCCCCGGUCCUACAAUUAAAGAUGAGAAAUGGCAAA
Ornithorhynchus anatinus (platypus) is the source of this 619-nucleotide long non-coding RNA. RefSeq lists it as uncharacterized. The transcript has 2 exons. The record is from RefSeq and is a predicted model, not a curated record. Lineage: Eukaryota; Metazoa; Chordata; Mammalia; Monotremata; Ornithorhynchidae.